Molecule: ribosomal RNA, 274 nt
Filed under: uncultured bacterium
Lineage: Bacteria
Description: partial 16S ribosomal RNA
Rfam family: Bacterial small subunit ribosomal RNA
Source: RNAcentral
AUACGGAGGGUGCUAGCGUUACUCGGAUUCACUGGGCGUAAAGCGCGUGUAGGCGGCUUGCUAAGUCAGAUGUGAAAGCCCUUAGCUCAACUAAGGAAUUGCAUCUGAAACUGGCAGGCUUGAGUACGGGAGAGGAGAGUGGAAUUCCCGGUGUAGAGGUGAAAUUCGUAGAUAUCGGGAAGAACACCGGUGGCGAAGGCGGCUCUCUGGACCGAUACUGACGCUGAGACGCGAAUGCGUGGGGAGCAAACAGGAUUAGAAACCCCAGUAGUCC